GCUUGCUCUCGGGUGACGAGCGGCGGACGGGUGAGUAAUGUCUGGGAAACUGCCUGAUGGAGGGGGAUAACUACUGGAAACGGUAGCUAAUACCGCAUAACGUCGCAAGACCAAAGUGGGGGACCUUCGGGCCUCAUGCCAUCAGAUGUGCCCAGAUGGGAUUAGCUAGUAGGUGGGGUAAUGGCUCACCUAGGCGACGAUCCCUAGCUGGUCUGAGAGGAUGACCAGCCACACUGGAACUGAGACACGGUCCAGACUCCUACGGGAGGCAGCAGUGGGGAAUAUUGCACAAUGGGCGCAAGCCUGAUGCAGCCAUGCCGCGUGUAUGAAGAAGGCCUUCGGGUUGUAAAGUACUUUCAGCGAGGAGGAAGGCAUUAAGGUUAAUAACCUUGGUGAUUGACGUUACUCGCAGAAGAAGCACCGGCUAACUCCGUGCCAGCAGCCGCGGUAAUACGGAGGGUGCAAGCGUUAAUCGGAAUUACUGGGCGUAAAGCGCACGCAGGCGGUCUGUCAAGUCGGAUGUGAAAUCCCCGGGCUCAACCUGGGAACUGCAUUCGAAACUGGCAGGCUAGAGUCUUGUAGAGGGGGGUAGAAUUCCAGGUGUAGCGGUGAAAUGCGUAGAGAUCUGGAGGAAUACCGGUGGCGAAGGCGGCCCCCUGGACAAAGACUGACGCUCAGGUGCGAAAGCGUGGGGAGCAAACAGGAUUAGAUACCCUGGUAGUCCACGCCGUAAACGAUGUCGACUUGGAGGUUGUGCCCUUGAGGCGUGGCUUCCGGAGCUAACGCGUUAAGUCGACCGCCUGGGGAGUACGGCCGCAAGGUUAAAACUCAAAUGAAUUGACGGGGGCCCGCACAAGCGGUGGAGCAUGUGGUUUAAUUCGAUGCAACGCGAAGAACCUUACCUGGUCUUGACAUCCACAGAACUUUCCAGAGAUGGAUUGGUGCCUUCGGGAACUGUGAGACAGGUGCUGCAUGGCUGUCGUCAGCUCGUGUUGUGAAAUGUUGGGUUAAGUCCCGCAACGAGCGCAACCCUUAUCCUUUGUUGCCAGCGGUCCGGCCGGGAACUCAAAGGAGACUGCCAGUGAUAAACUGGAGGAAGGUGGGGAUGACGUCAAGUCAUCAUGGCCCUUACGACCAGGGCUACACACGUGCUACAAUGGCAUAUACAAAGAGAAGCGACCUCGCGAGAGCAAGCGGACCUCAUAAAGUAUGUCGUAGUCCGGAUUGGAGUCUGCAACUCGACUCCAUGAAGUCGGAAUCG
This 1261-nucleotide ribosomal RNA is filed under the name Enterobacteriaceae bacterium 3065O2. RNAcentral describes it as "bacterial SSU rRNA". It matches the Rfam family "Bacterial small subunit ribosomal RNA", at positions 74 to 1334 of the family's 1533-position model. The record is from RNAcentral. Lineage: Bacteria; Pseudomonadati; Pseudomonadota; Gammaproteobacteria; Enterobacterales; Enterobacteriaceae.